This 436-nucleotide long non-coding RNA is filed under the name Elaeis guineensis (African oil palm). RNAcentral's name for it is "long non-coding RNA (EGUI_LNC071799)". The record is from RNAcentral. Lineage: Eukaryota; Viridiplantae; Streptophyta; Magnoliopsida; Arecales; Arecaceae.
AUACAUUAGAUGUAGUAUAGAAACAUGUUGAUAUGAUCAACAUGUAGUUCAUGCUAUAUUUAUAUAUUUUAAUUUCUGAUUUAAUGCUAUGUAAUAAUCAUGUAAUAGGAUCUUAGAUCUAGAGAUUUUCUAAUUUUAAAAAAUAAUUUUGAUUUAUUUUAGUCUUCCGCUGUAUGAUCUUGAAAAAGUUUCAAGAUCUAACCCUGAAACCCUAGAUCUGGUUCCUACACACUGCACAACAGCAUGGCCUGUUGGAAUUUUGUGUAGGGGUAUUUCAAUUUUUUUUUAAAUAAUAUAACAGAAUAGAAGAUUAAAAUAUCUUUUAAUCUAAAUCAUGUAUGUAUAAAAUAUAAAACAUAAAAAUUUACUUCAUAUGUUGAAAUUGAACACAUGCUGAAUUUUAUGCUAAAAUUAAAUAUGUGAUCGAAUCAUAUAC